CAAAAGAAUACAGAGGAAAAAGCUUUUCCCACUUUCUUUCCUAGGACUAGCCAAUAGCUGAAGUCAUGCAGGAAACUGGGUAGAGAGAAGGGGAAAGCAGCUUCUUCUCCCUGAAAUCCCGAUCAGCAGAAAUUGGAGGCUGUUGUAUAUCUCCCACCCAGACUUUUGUUUAAAAGUUUUUUCAACUGUUGCUAGGUGUUGGAUUCUGAGAUUAGGUUUCUCGUCUUCUGCUCCCUUCACAGCACUGUCAGAGCAGUGACUUUGUCGAGAAGCUGAGCUCGCGUGUGCUAUAUUUAACCAGUGUUCUCAGCAAGUCAAGCCUGUCAACAGCUGAGAAGUUUGGAGCCGGCUCUGCUCAGUUCCUCGGCAGCUGGGUUAUCAGUGGAUACAGCUCUGCUCACCCUGUAAAAGAUUGCGGGGAAACGGCAGACCCUUUUAAGGACUGCUGCUCAUUACACAGAGGUACCAAGAUGAUUCUUUACCCUGCAAUGUGUCUGGACUGAGUCUCUCCAUAACAGGGUGACGAGGAGGUGAAGGAGGAGGUACCCGCCAGCGCCCAAGGAGACGGAGUGUGAAGCAGGGAGGGGGAAGCCACCAGGAGGCUCUCAGCGGUGCGCAGUGUGCACACCAGCACCAAAACAUGCAGGACUGGGAUGGCGGGUGGUUGCGUGGACAUGGUAGGUGAAGGAGACAUUGAGAUUGGGAGAUUGA
Lagenorhynchus albirostris (white-beaked dolphin) is the source of this 711-nucleotide long non-coding RNA. RefSeq lists it as uncharacterized. The transcript is spliced from 3 exons. The record is from RefSeq and is a predicted model, not a curated record. NCBI's taxonomy places the organism in Eukaryota, Metazoa, Chordata, Mammalia, Artiodactyla, Delphinidae.